AAACCAGGAACCAGUAAGCAUGCGGGUCUCCCAAACCCUCGGGUCAUGCUGUGCUGCUAUUGCCAGGUGCAUUAGCUGGAGUUGGACGGGAAGUGGAGCAGCUGGAACCAAAACCAGUGUGUUGAUGCGGUAUGCGCAUUUUGUCCCCGAAUGGUACAUGGAUGUUUUUUCCCUCUGGCAUUCUGUCACUCCCCCUACACCUCCUCCCCGAACACAUACCUUUUCUGGUAACAAUUUUGGUUUUUCCUUGGGAAACCAUGUUUCACUACUCCUAGUCCAGAAAUAUAAGUAGGUGUAAGAGCCUGAACAAAGCAUGUAUAAAUUAAGUUGGGCUGAUUCUGAAAAUACGGUUAGAAAUGAAUAGUUCUCACUAACAUUGCCUGGCUGCCUGACAGAAUCAAGCUCACACAGAAGAAUGAAGAAAUUAAGACGAAGAGAAGGAAGACGAAGACCUGAUGAUUGCUCAUGCUAGAAAGCAGAGAAUGGAAAUCAGGUAGCAAGAGGAAUGAAGACAGUGAAGUGGCUGGAUCAGGAAUGGUCAAAGCCUGAAGUACAAUCUAGGUCUCCUACAUGCUUGGCUAUAACCCAACCAAGGGAAUCGUCACCAUUGCCUGCUCUGGAGAAAGCUGGAGUCCAAAGCUGGGAAUGGAUCCUGGGUGCUCUCAGGUGAAUCACUAUCAGUUCCUGAUGUUCCAUGGAGCUACUCCUCAGAACACACUUUGCAGAACGUUCAUCUCCUCUGAGCGCACCUGAAAGACGCAGGUGUUUGGAUGUCAAAAUGAGAUCCUCGGCAUGCAGACACUUUGGGCAGUGUGCCCUGCUACAGGUCAUAAGUAAUAUAAUGGGAAGUGGUUAAACAUGCAUCCAUCGUCUAAGCAUCGUGUAAGUCCAAGAGGAGCCUUCGAAACAACAGCCCGAUCCACUGCAACCCAUUCUCAGACCUGCUCUCUUCAGUUCCAGUUCUGCAACUAAGGAAGGUCAUCCUGGGCUAGGAAGUGGUGGAAGUGAUAAGGAGCCAUCCCAGCCA
Molecule: long non-coding RNA, 1027 nt
Organism: Ochotona princeps (American pika)
Lineage: Eukaryota; Metazoa; Chordata; Mammalia; Lagomorpha; Ochotonidae
Exons: 6
Source: RefSeq, a predicted model, not a curated record